UGGGGAAUUUUGGACAAUGGGGGAAACCCUGAUCCAGCCAUCCCGCGUGUGCGAUGAAGGCCUUCGGGUUGUAAAGCACUUUUGGCAGGAAAGAAACGUCGUGGGUUAAUACCCCGCGAAACUGACGGUACCUGCAGAAUAAGCACCGGCUAACUACGUGCCAGCAGCCGCGGUAAUACGUAGGGUGCAAGCGUUAAUCGGAAUUACUGGGCGUAAAGCGUGCGCAGGCGGUUCGGAAAGAAAGAUGUGAAAUCCCAGAGCUUAACUUUGGAACUGCAUUUUUAACUACCGGGCUAGAGUGUGUCAGAGGGAGGUGGAAUUCCGCGUGUAGCAGUGAAAUGCGUAGAUAUGCGGAGGAACACCGAUGGCGAAGGCAGCCUCCUGGGAUAACACUGACGCUCAUGCACGAAAGCGUGGGGAGCAAACAGGAUUAGAUACCCUGGUAGUCCACGCCCUAAACGAUGUCAACUAGCUGUUGGGGUCUUCGGACCUUGGUAGCGCAGCUAACGCGUGAAGUUGACCGCCUGGGGAGUACGGUCGCAAGAUUAAAACUUAAAUGAAUUGACGGGGUCAUAGCUGUUUCCU
Molecule: ribosomal RNA, 585 nt
Filed under: uncultured bacterium
Lineage: Bacteria
Description: partial 16S ribosomal RNA
Rfam family: Bacterial small subunit ribosomal RNA
Source: RNAcentral